This 234-nucleotide ribosomal RNA is filed under the name uncultured bacterium. Its description in RNAcentral is "partial 16S ribosomal RNA". It matches the Rfam family "Bacterial small subunit ribosomal RNA", at positions 796 to 1041 of the family's 1533-position model. The record is from RNAcentral.
CACGCCGUAAACGCUGAGAACUACGUGUUGGGGUGAAACCCAGCGCUGAAGCUAACGCAUUAAGUUCUCCGCCUGAGGAGUACGGUCGCAAGACUGAAACUUAAAGGAAUUGACGGGGGCCCGCACAAGCAGUGGAGCAUGUGGUUUAAUUCGAAGCUACGCGAAGAACCGUACCAGGGCUUGACAUAGUUCUAAGACUCUAGAAAUAGAGGGAUAUACAGAACAUACAGGUGG